GGCAGACAGUCUCACACAUACACACACACAGUCACAGACAGUCACACACACACGCAAUCACAGGCAGAUAGUCACACAAGCAAACAGUCACACAUACACACAGUCACACACACACAAUCCCAGGCCGACAGUCACAUCCCAGGCAGAGAGUCACACACACACACACCAUCACAGGCAGAUGGUCUCACACACACACACAGGCAGAUAGUCAC
Pelobates cultripes (western spadefoot toad) is the source of this 212-nucleotide non-coding RNA. NCBI's taxonomy places the organism in Eukaryota, Metazoa, Chordata, Amphibia, Anura, Pelobatidae. The record is from the annotation of a GenBank genome assembly.